This 1377-nucleotide ribosomal RNA is filed under the name uncultured bacterium. Its description in RNAcentral is "16S ribosomal RNA". It matches the Rfam family "Bacterial small subunit ribosomal RNA". The record is from RNAcentral.
AGAGUUUGAUCCUGGCUCAGGAUGAACGCUGGCGGCGUGCCUAACACAUGCAAGUCGAACGGACGAGAGGAGCUUGCUCCUCAAGUUAGUGGCGGACGGGUGAGUAAUGUAUGAGCAACCUGCCUUUCAGAGGGGGACAACAGUUGGAAACGACUGCUAAUGCCGCAUAAUGUAUUUCGAGGGCAUCCUUGGGAUACCAAAGGAGCAAUCCGCUGAAAGAUGGGCUCAUAUCUGAUUAGUUAGUUGGUGAGGUAACGGCUCACCAAGACAGCGAUCAGUAGCCGGACUGAGAGGUUGAACGGCCACAUUGGGACUGAGAUACGGCCCAGACUCCUACGGGAGGCAGCAGUGGGGAAUAUUGGGCAAUGGGCGAAAGCCUGACCCAGCAACGCCGCGUGAAGGAAGAAGGUCUUCGGAUUGUAAACUUCUUUUAUAAGGGACGAAGGAAGUGACGGUACCUUAUGAAUAAGCCACGGCUAACUAUGUGCCAGCAGCCGCGGUAAUACGUAGGUGGCAAGCGUUAUCCGGAUUUACUGGGUGUAAAGGGCGCGUAGGCGGGGAUGCAAGUCAGAUGUGAAAUCUAUGGGCUUAACCCAUAAACUGCAUUUGAAACUGUGUCUCUUGAGUGCUGGAGAGGUAGAUGGAAUUCCUUGUGUAGCGGUGAAAUGCGUAGAUAUAAGGAAGAACACCAGUGGCGAAGGCGAUCUACUGGACAGUAACUGACGCUGAGGCGCGAAAGCGUGGGGAGCAAACAGGAUUAGAUACCCCGGGUAGUCCUGGCCGUAAACGAUGGGUACUAGGUGUAGGAGGUAUCGACCCCUUCUGUGCCGGAGUUAACGCAAUAAGUACCCCGCCUGGGGAGUACGUCCGCAAGGAUGAAACUCAAAGGAAUUGACGGGGGCCCGCACAAGCAGUGGAUUACGUGGUUUAAUUCGAAGCAACGCGAAGAACCUUACCAGGUCUUGACAUCCAACUAACGAGAUAGAGAUAUGUUAGGUGCCCUUCGGGGAAAGUUGAGACAGGUGGUGCAUGGUUGUCGUCAGCUCGUGUCGUGAGAUGUUGGGUUAAGUCCCGCAACGAGCGCAACCCCUGCCAUUAGUUGCUACGCAAGAGCACUCUAAUGGGACCGCUACCGACAAGGUGGAGGAAGGUGGGGACGACGUCAAAUCAUCAUGCCCCUUAUGACCUGGGCUACACACGUAAUACAAUGGCCGUUAACAGAGGGAAGCAAUACAGCGAUGUGGAGCAAAACCCUAAAAACGGUCUCAGUUCGGACUGUAGGCUGAAACCCGCCUACACGAAGUUGGAAUUGCUAGUAAUCGCGGAUCAGCAUGCCGCGGUGAAUACGUUCCCGGGCCUUGUACACACCGCCCGUCA